CCUUACGGCUCAGUAACACGUGGAUAACAUGCCCUUGGGUCCGGCAUAACCCCGGGAAACUGGGGAUAAUUCCGGAUAACGCACAUAUGCUGGAAUGCUUUAUGCGUAAAAUGGAUUCGUCUGCCCAAGGAUGGGUCUGCGGCCUAUCAGGUAGUAGUGGGUGUAAUGUACCUACUAGCCGACGACGGGUACGGGUUGUGAGAGCAAGAGCCCGGAGAUGGAUUCUGAGACAUGAAUCCAGGCCCUACGGGGCGCAGCAGGCGCGAAAACUUUACAAUGCGGGAAACCGUGAUAAGGGGACACCGAGUGCCAGCGUCAUACGCUGGCUGUCCAGGUGUGUAAAAUACACCUGUUAGCAAGGGCCGGGCAAGACCGGUGCCAGCCGCCGCGGUAACACCGGCGGCCCGAGUGGUGAUCGUGAUUAUUGGGUCUAAAGGGUCCGUAGCCGGUUUGGUCAGUCCUCCGGGAAAUCUGAUAGCUCAACUAUUAGGCUUUCGGGGGAUACUGCCAGACUUGGAACCGGGAGAGGUAAGAGGUACUACAGGGGUAGGAGUGAAAUCUUGUAAUCCCUGUGGGACCACCUGUGGCGAAGGCGUCUUACCAGAACGGGUUCGACGGUGAGGGACGAAAGCUGGGGGCACGAACCGGAUUAGAUACCCGGGUAGUCCCAGCCGUAAACGAUGCUCGCUAGGUGCCAGGCAUGGCGCGACCGUGUCUGGUGCCGCAGGGAAGCCGUGAAGCGAGCCACCUGGGAAGUACGGCCGCAAGGCUGAAACUUAAAGGAAUUGGCGGGGGAGCAC
This 800-nucleotide ribosomal RNA is filed under the name uncultured archaeon. RNAcentral describes it as "bacterial SSU rRNA". It matches the Rfam family "Archaeal small subunit ribosomal RNA", at positions 81 to 879 of the family's 1478-position model. The record is from RNAcentral.